RNAcentral lists this unclassified non-coding RNA (1089 nucleotides) under Hevea brasiliensis (rubber tree). The record is from RNAcentral. Lineage: Eukaryota; Viridiplantae; Streptophyta; Magnoliopsida; Malpighiales; Euphorbiaceae.
GAAUAAAUCAAAUGAGCAGCAGGAUCUGUUACUAGUUGCAGAGAAUUGGUUCCCUUUUAAGCUAUACAUUGAUGGAGAACAACCCUAAUUCUUCAAGAACUGAUAGGAAAACCAUAGAGAGGAAUAGAAGAAAUCAAAUGAAGGCUCUCUACUCCAAGCUCAAUUCUCUUGUGCCCCGUCAAAGCUCCAGGGAAUCACUGUCGCUGCCUGAUCAGCUAGAUGAGGCUGCAAACUAUAUUAAAAAGUUGCAGACGAACCUGGAGAAAAUGAAAGAAAAGAAGGACAGUUUAAUGGGAACUCAUGAAAGGCCGAAUGCAAGCAUGAGUAGUGGAACAGCAAUGCUGAUAAGAUCUCCACAAAUUGAGGUUCAUGAAGUGGGUUCUGCUUUAGAUGUUAGUUUGAUAACUGGGUUGGAUAGUCAGUUCAUGUUCAAUGAGGCUAUUCGUGUUCUUCAUGAAGAAGGGGCGGAGAUUGUUAAUGCCAGUUUUGCUGUUGUAGAUGAUACUGUUUUCCACACAAUACAUUCCAAGGUAGGGGAUGAUUGUUGUUCUUCAUCACAUAUACUUGAAAGGAUGUGAUUAAGUGAUUUAUUACAAUUAAAGAUAUUAAGAUUGAUAUAUUCAAGAAAUCCAGUCUCCCUGAAUUCUUGCAGGUUGAAGAUUCUGCCCCUAGUUGUGCAGCUGCUAGGAUUUCUGAGAGGUUAAAGAAGUUUGUUCAAGAUGCAAAUUCAUUUUGAUGUCUGCAGCUUUAAUGGAGAAAGUGCCAUGAAAAUUGACUAGUAUGUUUUUUUAUAUAUGUUUCCUUGAAGACUAAGGGACUUCAAAAACGUUCAGGUCAAUACAGAUCUAUUGUUCAUAAUUACUUUUAACACUUCCUAUGUAUCAUUGUAACGAAUCAUACAUUCAUACUAGAACUAAGCAAUAUUACACUUUGGAAGCCGUUAUUUUGUAGUGUUAAUUGUAGAUUAAUUAGGGUUUCUGGUGGUAGCUAACAUCAGAUAUAACUUGGAAGCUUGUUUAUGGUUGCUUAGAAGUGUCAUAUAUCAUUGUCCUUUCUUCAAUUCAACGUUCAACUCUAACAAGAAUCAAC